CUCUCACAAAGGAUUGAUGCGGCAUCCUUUUUUGCCAUUAAGAGCAAAAAAGAUAUAGCGGAAAGCCUGGUCCCGA
This 76-nucleotide small RNA is filed under the name Lacinutrix sp. 5H-3-7-4. Its description in RNAcentral is "Flavo-1 RNA". It matches the Rfam family "Flavo-1 RNA". The record is from Rfam by way of RNAcentral. Lineage: Bacteria; Pseudomonadati; Bacteroidota; Flavobacteriia; Flavobacteriales; Flavobacteriaceae.